AACGCGAAGAACCUUACCAGCUUUUGACAUGUCCCGGACGGAAGCCAGAGACGGCUUCCUCUCUUCGGAGUCGGGAACACAGGUGCUGCAUGGCUGUCGUCAGCUCGUGUCGUGAGAUGUUGGGUUAAGUCCCGCAACGAGCGCAACCCUCGCCCUUAGUUGCCAUCAUUCAGUUGGGCACUCUAGGGGGACUGCCGGUGAUAAGCCGGAGGAAGGUGGGGAUGACGUCAAGUCCUCAUGGCCCUUACAGGCUGGGCUACACACGUGCUACAAUGGCGGUGACAACGGGAUGCGAAGGGGCGACCCUUAGCAAAUCUCGAAAAGCCGUCUCAGUUCGGAUUGCACUCUGCAACUCGAGUGCAUGAAGUUGGAAUCGCUAGUAAUCGCGGAUCAGCACGCCGCGGUGAAUACGUUCCCGGGCCUUGUACACACCGCAUAC
RNAcentral lists this ribosomal RNA (439 nucleotides) under uncultured bacterium. RNAcentral describes it as "bacterial SSU rRNA". It matches the Rfam family "Bacterial small subunit ribosomal RNA", at positions 958 to 1397 of the family's 1533-position model. The record is from RNAcentral.